AAGCGUCACACCACCACCGUAACUUAGUUAAAGAUGAAUUCUAAUAAUAGAGGUCAUUUUCCUUUUGUAAACUCCUCCUCUUCUUCUGAGUCAUCUGAUGAAUUUGAUGAGUGGUUAGGAUAUGAGAAUGAAGCAAUGGAGAUUGAAGAACAAAUUGCAAUCAACAUGAUAGCAAGAAAUAACUAUGUAAUUCACCAGCUCCUCCUCAUCCAACAAAGCGAUCAGGAGGCAACAAUGGCGGAAUCUCCUGUGCAGAUGAACCUGGUCCCGACCGAAGCUACUUCUGAAAGCUUCGCAGAGUAUGGUCAAGUCAUCGAAGCUUCCUCAGAUGGUGAUCUCUUUGGUCCUAACGAUGCUCAGUUAGAUCUCUCCAGAGGAACCCCACGUUUUUAUAUCAUGCGGCUCGAAGGUCGAACCUUGGGCUUCUCAACGAUCACGCACCACGCGAACGUGACACAGUGUCUGGGAUCUAUAGGAGGUCACGUUUGGUAUCUCGGUGUAGCGAAGCCAUCUCUUAUUGAAGAUGUUGAUAGAGAAAGAGUUGGAGAUAAUGUAGAGUCAGGGUCCGAUGGUCACUUGUACGCGCCUCCUACGGUUGAAGAGGUGCGCGUCUUCAGGUUUUCAGGACCGAAGUUUGUUAAACUGAACCGUGGUACGUGGCAUGCUGGGCCGUUGUUCAGUGACAGCUCCAUGGACUUCUACAACCUUGAGCUCAGCAACACAAAUGAGGUGGAUCACACGACACAUAGUUUCAAGAAGAAGAAUGGGGUCAUCUUCCGGUUUGAGGAUAGCACAUCAUCAUCCUAAAGUCAAAAAUCCUAUAUGAUGAUCAGUGUGGUUCUGUUUUCAUGUCUUUAUAAGCAAAUAAAAUGAGAAACAUUUUUCUUGUAUUCAAUGUGCCAACACUGUCUUUGUACAAACUGUAACUCUCCUCUAUAAAUCUGUUCAUCUAUUGACUCA
This is an RNA transcript of Brassica rapa (field mustard), 960 nucleotides long. RefSeq lists it as uncharacterized. The record is from RefSeq and is a predicted model, not a curated record. NCBI's taxonomy places the organism in Eukaryota, Viridiplantae, Streptophyta, Magnoliopsida, Brassicales, Brassicaceae.